This 194-nucleotide ribosomal RNA is filed under the name uncultured bacterium. Its description in RNAcentral is "partial 16S ribosomal RNA". It matches the Rfam family "Bacterial small subunit ribosomal RNA", at positions 1299 to 1500 of the family's 1533-position model. The record is from RNAcentral.
UGGAGUCUGCAACCCGACUCCAUGAAGCUGGAUUCGCUAGUAAUCGCGCAUCAGCCACGGCGCGGUGAAUACGUUCCCGGGCCUUGUACACACCGCCCGUCAAGCCAUGGAAGCCGGGGGUGCCUGAAGUGCGCUGCCGCGAGGAGCGCCCUAGGGUAAAACCGGUGACUGGGGCUAAGUCGUAACAAGGUAAC